RNAcentral lists this ribosomal RNA (254 nucleotides) under uncultured bacterium. RNAcentral's name for it is "partial 16S ribosomal RNA". It matches the Rfam family "Bacterial small subunit ribosomal RNA", at positions 524 to 776 of the family's 1533-position model. The record is from RNAcentral.
UACGGGGGGCGCAAGCGUUGUUCGGAUUUACUGGGCGUAAAGGGCGCGUAGGCGGCCACCGCAAGUCGAUUGUGAAAUCUCCGGGCUUAACUCGGAAAGGUCAACCGAUACUGCGGGGCUAGAGUGCAGAAGGGGCAACUGGAAUUCUCGGUGUAGCGGUGAAAUGCGUAGAUAUCGAGAGGAACACCUGCGGCGAAGGCGGGUUGCUGGGCUGACACUGACGCUGAUGUGCGAAAGCUAGGGGAGCGAACGGG